GAUGAAGAACGUAGCGAAAUGCGAUAAGUAAUGUGAAUUGCAGAAUCCAGUGAAUCAUCGAAUCUUUGAACGCACAUUGCGCCCGCCAGCAUUCUGGCGGGCAUGCCUGUUCGAGCGUCAUUUCAACCCUCGACCUCCCUUUGGGGAAGUCGGCGUUGGGGACCGGCAGCACACCGCCGGCCCUGAAAUGGAGUGGCGGCCCGUCCGCGGCGACCUCUGCGUAGUAAACCAACUCGCACCGGAACCCCGACGUGGCCACGCCGUAAAACACCCAACUUCUGAACGUUGACCUCGAAUCAGGUAGGACUACCCGCUGAACUUAAGCAUAUCAAUAAGCGGAGGU
Molecule: unclassified non-coding RNA, 343 nt
Filed under: soil metagenome
Description: partial contains 5.8S ribosomal RNA, internal transcribed spacer 2, and large subunit ribosomal RNA
Rfam family: 5.8S ribosomal RNA (bases 1-120)
Source: RNAcentral